CUUGGUGAUUAGAGCGACGCGGCCCCACCCGUUCCCAUCCCGAACACGGAAGUGAAACGCGUCAGCGCAGACGAUACUAGGGCGUAAACGCUCUGCGGAAAAUAUGCCAUCGCCAGGG
RNAcentral lists this ribosomal RNA (118 nucleotides) under Chloroflexota bacterium. Lineage: Bacteria; Bacillati; Chloroflexota. The record is from RNAcentral.